GGGCAGUAAUGUACUCCGGCUUCAAGCGUUUAGUUUCCUUGGCCUGAACUCUCAGAUUAAAGGCUCCUUGCUCGUGCCCGCCCCACAACGAUGCCUGUGACCUUGACUGCAGUGAUGGGGUAGGUUUCUCCCUCCCUCUUUCCCUCCUCCUUUGCUGGCUUCCUCCUCCCUCCCUCUCUCUCUCUUUCUUGGGGAAAAAAAAAAGGUAUUUUCCUUCUUAAAUAUUCAGUCGAGAGGCUGUUGCUUAAACCCUGCAUGCUCUGGGGACAGGCAGAUUGUGCUUGACUGCCAGCGGGGCACGGGAACACCUGGCUGGCCCAGAACACUCGCUCAGCCACAUGGGGCCAGCGGGUGUGCUGAGCCUGGUGGGCAGUCUGGAUGCUGGACCCCAUGGCUGGGCGUGGGCCCAUGGAAGCCGGGCAGAUGGUCUUCCCCGGGCUACGACUUCUCCCCUUCCCCCUCUGCCCACCCCCUGCCCUUGUCCCGGGGCUGGCUCCCAGGGGCCUGGCCCAGUACCCUCAGUGAAUGGGAGACUCCUAGGGCAGGAGGUUUCAUCUGAUCCUCGGGCCUGGACAUCCGGGGAAGGAUCUAGGGAACACUAGUGGCUGGAUUUGAGGGGCAGAUGGCAGCAGAAGUGGCGCCUGACAGCCGUUCAUUGAUCAAGAGGGUGGCUUCCGGAGCUGUCUCGUUCUGGCCCCCGCAGGAUCCACUUGUCAAUUCAUCCAUCCAGGCUGCCCUCUGUCUUUCCUUUGUCUUACCUUCUCACCCCUCUCUCUGCUGCCCCCGCCCCCCUGUCAUCCGCUCACCAGGCUGCCUUUUUGAGCUGCCUUGUGCUUCUGUACAAGCAGCAGGGGGCAUGUGAAAGCACCAGGUAUCUGGAUUCAAGCUGGUCCCGAGUUCAAACCCGGACUGCAGGACUUACGAGCUGUUUCUGUUCUAUUUAAUAUUUUGAAUUUGGACAAGCUCCUCAAUCUCUCUGAAGCUUCACUCUCUCACCUGUAAAGUAAGAGCAUCCUGAGGGCUCAGGGCGUGAUGUGGCGAGGAGUGGCACUAGGUCUGGCAGCCCUCCCAGGCCCCUCCCCCAGAUGCUUCGGCCUCUCCUACCCAGAUGCCCUCUGUCCCUCUCUCUGUCCCUCUUGGCUAGAAAAAGGGAAGGUGGUCAGGAGGGGUGCCUGGCGAGGCGGGCUCUGGUUCUCCCACUCACAAGCUGCCUGUGUAAGUAUGAAGGGAAGAAUGAGGCCGAGUUGGAGGGACCUUUCAUGAGUUCAUUUUCUGGGCAAAGCCUAGUGUAUGGGCACAGGUCUGAUUUGAAGGAAUCAACUUAAGGGGCUGUGGCUGGACUGCCAGGGGAAGACAGGGGAGGAUGUAGGAGCAGGGGCCUGUGUAGCCUGGGAGGAGAAGCCAUCUGGGCUGGGACUCCCCUCCCAGGUUGCCCAGGGAUGGGCAGAAAGAACCUGUAGCCAUCAGGGAUGAGGAGUGUUGGCAGCUGGAUGAAACCCCAGGUGGAGGAGAAAUUUCUGCACUUUCUGGAGCAGGGGUGGUGGGAUGACCACUGGGGGUGAAGGAGGGGAAGUCCCUCUUAGAUGUUUGACCACAGAGGGAAUCUGGGGCUGAUGUGCUAUGGGAACUUGGGCUGGUCCCGUUUCUUCUCUGGGCCUCAGUUUCCUCCUCCUAUAAAUGAGGUUGAUCAUCCUGUCCUGUGUGCCUCAUGGGAUGGGCAGAAGAUCCAGUUAGAGAAUAUAUGGGCAUGUUCAGUGAUCUAUAAUGUAGUACUAAUGAUAACUAUCAUUCUGGUCAUUACCUUGCUUUCUUUCCACUCUGUGUGACACCCACUUUGAUCCACGCAAUCUAGCCCCGAUUCAUAUGCUGAUAGAAUUAAACAUGGCUGAAAGCAACCUCUCCAUUUAGUGCGAAAUCUCCACCCAACAUACAUGGUCCCCAGACCUCCACUUGCAUGCCCCCAGGGACAGGGAGCUCACUGCUCCUCAUGAUGGGCAAAAGACUGUCUCCCUAGAAUCUUUUUUUCACUGGGCUCAGUUCUGCUCUCUGGGAACAUAAAUGCUAAGUGUCUUUGUCAGAGUCCUGACCAGGCCCUUGAGGCUUCCCCAGGGAACCUGGGUUCCAGGCCCACCUCUUCCUGUCAAGGCCCCAGUGAGCAGAUUUCACAUUAUCAAAGACCUUCUAUAUGGGUACAUAGAUGCCUGGGCAUGGCGUUCUGGAAGUAACUGCACUGUGCACCGUCUCCAGAGCUGAAGCAAUGGGCUCACCCAGCCUCUAUGUCUCCUGGCCACCAGGCUCCAUGGAGUCUACGACUAGAGUCCUUGGCCACUCUCUAUAGUAGUGAUUCUUGGAGCUACUCACAGAGUUUACCCCAGGUUCUGGUAACUCUCUCUUAUAUACUGUUGUCUAUUCCUAGGGCACAUGGAAGGCUUUGAAUAAGAGACCCUGCCUCCCUAAUUGACCCCCGUUAGGCUGGACCUACCUUCAAGGCUCCAUUCUAGUCUCUGCCAGAAAAGUUGUUCCAGGCAGGGCCAAGGACCAGCCCUGCUAGUGCCAGUGAGAAGCCUCCCCAGGAGCCAGUGUGACCUACUUUCCCACACUCCUGGCUGUGGUUAUUUAGCUAACCACUGAGUGACCCAGCCCAUGGCUUUCUGCCUCCUCCGCAAGGAUGUCAUGAGGGCCUUGCUCAUGGCUGGCUGGAAUGCAUUUCAUCCUUUCAAACAGCUAAGAGAGGACAUGCAGUUAUCCCGCGAGAUUCUGUGGAUAACUGAAGUCAAACUUGCCAUUGUCUUUCCUGUGUUCUGUGUAGCACUUCUAGAAUUUCUAUUAGAAUGGAUGUGAAGCCUACUGGUCUGAGCCCAAAUUGGCUCUUUUAGCCACCCCCUCUUUUUUUUUAUUUUUUUAAGUUUAUUUAUUUAUUUUGAGAGAGAGGGAGAGAGAGAGAGAGAGAGAGGCAGAGAGAGGGAGAGACAAAAUCUGAAGCAGGCUCUGUGUUGUCAGCGCAGAGCCCGACAUGGGGCUCGAACUCGCAAACUGUGAGAUCAUGACCUGAGCCGAGAUCAAGAGUUGGAUGCUUAACCGACUGAGCCACCCAGGUGCCCCCAGCCCCCCUUUUAAAACAAAAGGGGAAGGAUGCUAAUAUUUAUAAAUGCCAGUUCUUGACAUAUAUCAUUUCACUGACUCUUCAUCACAGCCUUGUGUGGGAGGAUUGUGGUUGCCUCUCGGAAGAGGAGGGAGCUGAGCCUUGGGAAGAGGCAGAACUUACUCAGGGUCCUGCAGCUAGCAAGAGGCAGAGCUAGGGCUCCAAAGCCUGAUUUUCCCCAGCCUCUGUGCUCACAGGCCCAGCCAGCUGAGGGUCUGCUCUGGGCCAGCCACCCGCCUCUCUUGUCCUGCCCGAACCUGUCUUCUUUCUUGGACAGUCUUAUCAGCCUGGGGGUGGGACCCAAUCUCUGCUCCUCCCACAGACCACACACAGGACCAGGGAACAGAGCAGGGGCUCUGGCAGAAAGAUGCAGAAAGAUGUGAGGCUCAGUAUGGGCGGGGGGGAGGGCAGUUUUCAUGGCCCUUGCUCAUCUGCUGUGUCAGUUUCUAAUGGUUUAAGUUUUACUGGGGGGGUGGUUGUAAAAGCAGGACGUGUGUGUGGUAGAAGAUAGGAGUCAUCCUUGAUUCCUUUCCUUGCCCACUCCCUCACAUCCAGCCAUCUGUGGAGGGGCUCUGCUACAGCACGCACUCCGAAUCUGUUGAGUCCGCCCUCAGCUGGCCCAGGCGCCACGUGACCGGCAGCUGUGACAGCCAGCCCACUGGGUCCUUGCUCUCCUGCCCGCGCCUUUAAACCCAGUCUCCACUCAGCAGCCCCAGGGAACUUUUCACAAUGAAGGAAAAGUCGCAGCCUUUUCAUCACACUGGAGGGGAAGCUGAAAGCCCUUACCUCCUUCCCGAGGGCCCAGCCUCCCUCUGCUUCAUUCCUCACAGUUGCCCACACUCUGCCCACCUCAUGCCAGGCCCCUGGCCUGCCUGCUGCUCCUCAGAAACACCGGGCUCCUGCCCACCUCUGCUCCCCUCCUCCUCCUGUCCAAGGAGAGACGGAUUUCUUAUCCUGUAGGAUAUGAAUAUAUGAAUUCAGGUCUGACGUCUGCACAAAGACCUUCCCCCGACCCACCAGCUGGAGUAACCCCUAGUCCCACCCCAGGACCUCUCUCACACUACUUGGUUUGAUGAUCUUAUUUGGACUUGUUGCUGUUUGCAAUGAACUUGCUCAUUUAUUUGCUUAUCAUCUGUACCCCCAUCCCCUUGAGAGUAUCAGACUUGUCUGUUUUGUACCCCCACUCAAUCCUCAGGACCAGCACUCAUCCCCCCUCCUGUCCUGCCUAUUGUACACCUAGAAUAUAGUAAGUGCUCAGUAAGUAUUUGGAGAAAAAAAUGAAAAAUAACAGAAACAUGGCAAGGAGAAAUAGAUUACACAAUUGUGGAUAUAGGAGCAGUUAAUAAUGUCGUGUGUGUGUGUGUGAGUGUGUGAGUGAGUGUGUGUGUGUGUGGGGGGGGCUUGGAAUCAUCUGCUCUUUUAAUGAGAGGGCUGGGCCUGAGCCUGAAGCACUACAUGCAUGUGCAUACUGGUCACACACACACAGACACACACACACACACACACACACGCAUGUGCACACAUAUGUGUUUCCCUAUUGGGUAGCAGCAUAAUCUCUGGUGAGUUUUUUCACCUUUUAGGCCUCAGUUGCUCCACCUGUGGAAUUGGGCUGCUGGGGCUGGAGGUGGAGGCCUGGAUGCCAUGGCCUCUGGAUGUCAGCCCUUGCCUGUGGAGGGACACCAUGGGCAGUGUGCCCGCUGGCCUGCCGGGCUGUACUGAGCAGGCUGGGAGGUGUUUAGAUAAGUCCGCUCCUCACAGGGCUGCUUCCCGCUGACCUCUGAGGUGAGGAUCUCGUCCAGGCAGGAGGGAGUGGGGGGGGUGGCGGCAGGAAGUGGGCACAGAGGCCUGAAGACGUGAGCUUUGCUGCUAGAAGGUGGAUUGCGUUCACAGUUGAGGUCUCUUGGAUGCACCAGUAGCUUGACCUUGAUGUGUUUUCAUUUUUGUGUGCGUGCUUGCGUUUUAAAAAAUAUUUCAAUACAUUCAUUUUAUUUCUUGAAACUUUUUCUUGCAAUUGCCACAGAAAGAAUUUUUAUGAAAUUUAAAAGGGAAAAAAACCACACACACACACACCUGUAUUUUCACCAACCCAAGACAACAACUGUCCCCUGCCUGCCUCCUUGCCCUUUUCCUGUGACGACAAUACUGGAACCUUGCAGAACAUGUUGGGGGGGGUGGGUAGAAGGGGCUCUUGACCUUAGACAAGUUACUUCAUCUCUCUAUAUAGGCCUUAGUUUCCUCAUCCAAAAAAAGGUAAUGCAUCAUAAUUGUGCCCUCUUAGAGUUCUUAUGCAGAUUACAUGAGUCAACGUUUAUAAAGCACUUAGAAAGUUGCCUGGCACUUAGUAUGUGUUUGUUAAAUAAAAGGAGUAAAUAAAUAGAAAGGAAGGGACACUCAUAAUGCUGCCAUCAUGGCACGAAGAGGCAGCUGUGGAAGUUUGUCCUUGGGGUCAGAAAUCAAGAGCUCAAGCCCUGACUCUGCCCUUAGUCCCCCAUGUAACCAGGAGCACAUAUGGCUUCUUUAAGACUCAGCUCCUCCGUCUGUAAAAUGGGUAUGUAAUCUGCACCCCAUGAUGCUGCUGCACAGGGUGAGGGGUAACGGGUGCACAUGGGCUCAGUGAGCACAGGGCCCCUGCACAGCACUGCAACCCAGCCCCCACCUUCAUCCGUCUUCUCAGUUUUCUUGCUCAAUAUUGUUAUAGCUCCGUGUUGCUACCAGCCUCCGUGUUUAUCAUUUUUAAUGACUGUGUGAUAUUCCAUUGAGCAGAGGUGUCACAACGCACUUUGUCAUCUCUAUUGUGGGAUGUUUAGGCAGCUUCCAGCAUCUUGCUGCUAUAAAUAACCUUUCCGUGAACAUCUCUGUGGCUGGAGCACUUCCCCUCUGAUGGAUGAUUUCCCCAGGCAACUUCAGUGACAUUCGUUGAGGCUGCUUUAUCGGGAGGACUGAGGGGCGGGCAGUGGGACUAGGAGCUGGGGGAACAAGGUUCUGGUUUUUCCUUUGUCUGUCUGCCACUCUCUCACACACUCUCUCUGUAUGACCUUGAGCAAAUCCCUUCCUUUCUCUGGACCUCAGUUUUCUUCAAGUGUUGUGGCCAGGGACUGAGACAGGCUUGGUCCAGAGCUGUGCUGUCCCCUGUGGCAGCCACUAGCCAUCUGUGGCUAUUUUUAUUUAAAUAUAAAUUAAUUAAGGGGCACCUGGGUGGCUCAGUCAGUUAGGCGUCCAGCUCUUGAUUUUGGCUCAGGUCGUGAUCUCACAGUUCAUGAGUUCGGGCCCCAUGACAGGCUCCAUGCUGUCAGCACAGAGCCUGCUUGGAAUUCUCUCUCUCUCCCUCUCCCUCUGUUCCUCCCUGGCUCGCGCGUGCUCGUGCUCUCUCCCCCUUUCUCUCUCUCUCUCAAAAUAAAAAAUAAACUUUAAAUAAAUAAAUAAAUAUUAAUUAAAUAAACUUUAAAAACCAGUUUCUUAGCCACACUGUGCACAACAGAACCCAGUUGUGGCUGCCGGUGGCUACCACAUUGGGCAGCACAGGUAUAGAACAUUCCCAUCAUUGCGGAAAGCUCUGCAGGACUGUGCCAGUCAUCAUGCCUUCUUCUGGAACUAAGAAGAGGGCAAACAGCCCUUAGCUCAGAGGACUCAUUAAGGACCUAACAAGACUUAGUGGCUUUCCACAGGCCAGGGCCUCUGGUAGUGUCCAGAGUCUGAAAUAUCCAUGUCCUGUGUCUUUCUCCAAGAGAGAAGCUGGGCAAGAAUAUGGGCCCAAGAGAGGUGGCCCCAGCAGGGGACAGUGCCCAAGGGAGGCCGGCAUGAAGACAGAGUAGGUGGUCUCCUGAUUUCUCAGCCGGGAGGGCAGCUGGAGGACAGGUGCCGCAGCUCUCUGCGCUGUCCUCUCUGGAUUCUUUUAGAAGUCUGGCCUAGAGAGCAAAGAUUGCUGCCUCACUCAUCUUGCCCUGCGCUGGCUGCCUGGGGCCCUAAGCCCGGUUCUGGGCACUUGCUGGGAGAGGAGCUGUGAGAAGCGAGCCCACGGCACCAGGAAGAAGCUGCUUCCCUCCCCACCACCACUUGACAUACCCGCUCUGGCCACACCUGCCCCCUCCUCUCCCCUUCCACCUUCUGCAGUUGCUUUUCUGCAGCCUGGAGGUAGCACGGGGGCGGGGGAGAGGUACCCAGGGCAGGGGAAUAGAGGAAGUAAGCGGAGAGAAACUUGGCUGGCUUUGGUCUCGCCUUUGCCGAAGCGUGGCUGCCUUCUGCCCUGCCCCUGUGCCCAAUGCUCCUCUGUCCCCAUAUGAACCCUACUGCUCACUCUGGUUUCUCCUGUUUUCCAGGGAUCCCAUGGCCAUGUCCUGGCUGCCUUGAAUCUGUGAGGCCACACAGCCUCCCACCUGCAUCUCCAGGGCUCUGUCCCUGUCCAGCCCCUGGACCAGCUUCCGAGUCUACUCCUCACCCCAGCCUGGGGACGCCUCAAGCUUCAGGACUCAGUGGGGCACAGUAGCAGUCACGGUAGGUGGCGACCCCACUCUGCUCUCUCUUGGCUCCUGGGAAUACUUAGCUGAGCCUUCUUGGUCUCUGGAAUAGGAAGGAUACCUUUCUGAACACCAUAUCUGUCACCAUAUCCCUUUGGUUGACAUCGCAAAAAAACUUAUUUCAAUAAAAUACAAGUAUCAGCUCAUGUAACUGAAGUAUCCAGAGGUGGAUGGGGCUUCUGGCAGGGCUUCAUCCAGCGGUUCAAACAGUGUGGCCAGGACCUGUUUUCUGUCUGCAUUUCUCUGCUCCCUCUUCCUUGGUGGUGGCUCCACCUCUAUGAGCAUUUCACAUGACAUGGUCACAGGAUGUCUGCCAACGGUUUCUGGGGCAGUAUGCUUCCAGGUUUAAAUCUGGGGUCAGGGGUGGAGACAAAAUCUGCUUUCUUGAUAGAACAAAUAAAAGCCCUGGGGUUGAUCUCUUGGGCCCUGUUGGCAGGAUUUGGAUCAUCCUGACCCCUUUGGCUGGGUCCACAGGUCUUGGAAACUUAAAGGGACUGGGGGUCAGGGUCUGUCCUUCCCCAACCAUGUGACCAGGAAUGAGGACAGGGUGUUUCCCCAAAGGAAGCUUGGGGUCCUGCUGGUAGAAGGAGUUGCCCCCAAGUGAGGGAGGCAAAUAACAAAUGAUCGGUGGAGUCUCCCCAGCUUGGACAGCUUAAAGUCAGUCCCAGAUAGAUACAGAUAUGCUGUGGGUCCUUGGGCAGAUCCCUAUGCCUCUCUGAGCCUCAGUUUCCUUACCUGACGACGAACCUCACCUGGCAGGGGUGCUAUGAGAACUACCUGAAACGAUGUGUGGGAAGCACUGGUGUCUAUAGCAGGUGCUCAGUAAAUCCUUUUCUGUGCCCCUUCCCUUUCUCUCCUGGGGAGUUUGGAACAUCCUGUUUCCUUCAAACUUGGAAGGAGCUGCGUAGGAAGUAUUGUCAGGAUCCCUAGAAGCAAAGUCUGAGACAAGGAUUUGUGAACAUGAGGUUCACUGAGGGUGGGCUUUUGGGAAAAGGGAGGAAGAGAAGAAGUUGGGGCAGGUAUGAGAGCCCCAUGAGUGAGGUCGUGGCCUUGGGCUGGUCCAGGGGGCCCUGGUGUAGAGUUGACACCACAGAAUUGUCCCCUAGACAAGGUGGCCAGGCUUUUGUACCCCUGUAUCAAUCAGUCACUGACUGUGGGCCAUGCCUGCGGCGCCUGUGGGUGGCCCCCAUUUGCAGAGGGCAAUUCUCUGGAGAAGGGGGUGCAGUGAGCUGAGGAGGGGCUCUGGGAAGGCACCACUUAAUACAGGAAGGCAGGAUCCGUGUCCCUGGCCUGGCCAGUCCUAGAGGAGCCCUGCUCUGCUGCCUCCUCUGGCUUUUGCUCCUCUGGCCCCAGACAGCAAUGCCAGUCCCUUCCACUCGCCUUUCGAGAAUCUUUUUCCACCCCAGGCCUCCGUGUCCUCCCUGUGCCCCCUGCCUCUUUCCUAAUCGUUCUUCUUUCCUCCCUUCAACUUUAGUCAGUCGUGCAGUUCCCCCACCUACUAUGCCCUUCCUUGCUCUCUACCCCAUCCUCUUUUUCAGGCCUGUGUGGGUCCCUCCCUCUCUGCUCACUGCUCCAGCCAAUGUUUAUCUCCUUUAGUCCUUCCUCCAGCUGCACCCUUCUUACAGAUGGAAAGGCCAAGGCCCAGUGUGUACUUCCUCACGAAUACUUUGUGGGUUCCUACAGCAGUGCCAGAGUGUGUUGCUCUCUUUGCCUUGGCCACUAGGAAGCUCAUAGCUGGUUUGUGGCCCAUUUCUGAGAAGUGCUGAGGAUGCUGGCAUACAUACAGUUGCUCAGUCGCCUUCCCUCUGACUUCUCUCUCAUUUUCUCCUUUUUCUGAUUUCUUUUCUUAUUUUUCAGCUUGUGCUUUCUCGGCAGCCUCAAACUCUUUUAGAAGGUGGUGGGGUAUCAAAAACCAAGAGUGGCCUUGGCUAAAACAUUCAGCCAAAUACUAGGCUUUCCCCUUCCUAAGGGUAGCUGGGGUGGGAGAGUCUCCCCCAGGCCUAGGGCUGAGCCUGUCCCCAAGGAGACACCAAAGCCUGACCACGGUAGCCCCGGCAUAGCACCCACCCUGCCCUCCGUGGGUCGGGAAUGACAUUGUUCUGCUUCCUACCCUUUUCCCUCCCCCCUUUUCAUCUUAUCAGAAGCUAAUGAAAGAGGCUGGGAAACCCAAUCCUCUGGUAAUUAAAUUUACUUAACGGGUAUUCAAGUGGAGUAAUGAGAAGUUUAAUGCAGUGAUUAGAUUUUUCUUUAAUUAAUUAAAAUGAGAACCAUGUGUCUUGCCAGCAAACCAACUUGACCCUCUGCUUGAAGAGUAGCAGCCAGGGAUGGUGGGGGGCUUGGCUGCGUGGCUGGGGGCUGCAGGGUGGAUGCGGGCCCCUGCCCCGGCACCAUAGCUCCUGGAAGUGAGCCUAGCUCUGAUGUCCACCCAGGGCCGUCUCUGACCCCGCUCCCAUUUCUGAGCCCUGCGAGUGCCAGGACCGGGUAGGCCCCGAGUCUCCCAGGGCCAGGGGAUCCAACAGUCCCCACACUCAGGCAGCUGAAAGCGGACCCGGAAUGGAGGUUUCAGAGGGGGGUCGGCAAGCGUGGCUUAAAGCAAAGAGCACAGAGGAGGGAUUUGAGGCACUGCGACAGAUGGAGGCAUUUUGGGAUCACAUUUCAAUGCACGGGCCAGUGGACACCUUCACCUGCGUGUUGUCAGACCUGGGUUUACCUCCGUUGGCUUUAUCAGGGCUGAUGGAGUGAGGGCAGUGGGGUGGAUAAUCGAGAAAUCUGAGAUAACCCACAAAACACUUCUCCUUGACUCGGGAAUGCAGUGAUGCCAGAAGGCUGACCAUCCUUGCUGUGUUUCUGAAGGCCAGUUAGGAAUGCAAGGAAGUACUCCCCCCACACCGGCCCCUGAGCUGCCUCUGCAGGGGUCAGGUGGUGGCUCGGGUAAUGGGAAUAUGAGAAUCCCGGCAUAGCUGUCUGGAAUGGAGCACAGAACGGUCCUCGCCAGGGUAGAGGGUGGGCAUAAUGAGGACUGAGAAGACAGGCUGCAGCUCCCCAGGGGCAGAAUAUGUUGUUUUCAAGCAGUGGGUAAGGCUAGGGGGAGUCCUGAGCCCUUCAUGGUGGAGAGGCAGAGAACUUCCUUUAUUGAGCCUUGACCCUACACCCACAACUGAACCUUGAUCCUGGGCAGACUGAACCUUGAUCCCAGUCCUAGACUGAACCCUGAUCCCAGCCCCACACUUAGCCCAGCAUUGUCACGCACAUGCCAGCUGAGUAACAGGUGCUGGGGUGGGAGGGGUGAGGGGCCCUAUUUGUCCAUCCUCACUGCCAGCUCUCCUGCCUGUGGGCAGGACUCCUGUGCCAGGCCCCUCACUAGUCCCUGGAACGGCCGAGAUGAGUCAGACAUGGUCCCUGCCCACAGGGCCGGUGGGGGAGGCGACAAGCAAACAGGCACUGAGUGAUCAGAGCUGAGGUGGGGGAGGCCCAGAGGGCUGAGGGCCCAGGAUCUGUACUAAGAGCUUCCUCUGAAGGCAGGUGGGAGGGGGAGGUGCUGGAGGCGGGCCAGUGGGGAGGCUGACACUGGUCUGCAAGAGGUGAAGAGGAUGGUGCCAGCGGGGGGCGGCGGGGGUGCUAGGGUGAGCGAUUCUCCCCCCCCCACCUCCCGUAAGAACUGGCUGUGACUCCUCCAGGCCGUCCUCAGCUCUGGAGGAACCAAGGGACUCAUGUGUGGGGAGGGUUGAUGGGGUGCCCGGCACUGGGCUGAUAACGUUACCUUACAAGGAAAGCAUGUUUAUCCAUUGCAUGAGGAGGAAACGAGGUGUGCAGGGACUGGCCUAAUGCUACACGGCUGGCCGGGUGGGGCGGGUUCCCAGUGCUCGCCUGCCUGCGGGCCUGCACACUGCUGUUCUGUGGUCUGCAGGGGAAUGAACUUACCCUGGGGGGCAGGAGUCAGCUUCUGACUCCUCCACUCCCACCUGGGCGAAUACAGCCCCAGCACUGGUGAGGGCUGGGGGUUCGGUGCUUGAGCCCGGGCCAGUCAGACUGGCGUGUGGGGCUUCCUGAUGCGGCUGGAGCAGGAGCAGGGAGUGAGGGAAGAGAGGAGGGUCCUGUCUGGGUAGGGGACUAGCCCCAGGAACGAGGGUCUUCUGCUUUCUUCACCCUCCCACUCCUCCCCUCUGCUAAUCCCUCCCUCUAGAUUCCUCUUCCGGCCCAUUUCCCUUCUUCUUCUUUCCUUUCUGAAAAACCAGGCCUAGAGAAACCACCCAGCCAGCUGCCCACUGCUCCCAUGUGGGGCAGGGACCUGCUCAAGACCGUGGGGCUCUGCCUCUCUUAGGUCUUUAAAGUAGAGUCUGAAAUCACAUUAUCAUGAACGUAAACACAAGGAUUGCAUUUGCAUACUUCUCCUGGCCAUGCGCACACACCAGUUCAUGCUGCACAGGUAGAUGCACCCAGGAAGCCACCCCUCUGUCCCAGGCACCAUGCUGCCCCAGACGUGUUCAUCUCUCCUGCCUGGAUUCUGGGUGCGGUAAAUCACUGCCUCAUUUAAUUCUCUCAACAGCCUGGGAGGUUAUUUAUACAGGUGAGGGAACCAGGCAAGGUCAGGAACUAGGCCCCAGUCACACCACCAAGUGCAAAGGUGAAGCUUGCCUGACAAGCUCAGAUCCUAGGCCAAGCCACCCCUCCAGAUUACCCCCACCUCGCCUCUGGGCAGUUCCCCCUCCCUCUUUCUCUCCCCAAACCUCCCCCCAAACCCCUCCGCAUCCACUGCCCCUUCGCUCCUUGCUGCAUCCUCCAGCCAGAUCCAAGGACUCUUUCCCAGGGCUCCCCACACGUUCCCACCUCCAGGCCCUUGUCCAAGCUGUUCCAGGCCCCUGAAUUCCCCUCCCCAACUCCAUCUGCUCCGGCCCCCUUCGUCUUACUAGGCUGGGCCCAAAUGAUGCCACUUCUUUCAUGGAGACACCCUGUCUGCUCUCACUCUGAUCAGAAGUCACCCCCCACCCCUGCCCAGCACCAUCCUCCAGCUCUUUCCUACCCACCCCCCCCCCCCCCCAUCUUAGGCUCUUGGCUUUCCUGUGUCUGACCUUGCAUCUGUGUGAAAGGCAGGGCCCUGGCUUCCCAGGCCAGUUACCCCCAGAGCCUGGCGCACAGAAGCUGCACAGGAGGUAGCGGGGUCCUUGUCUGGGGAGGGGCUGCACCUCUACAAACUCAUCCCUUUCCUCGGCAGUUCUGGCUCAGACGGCCUCUCACAGCAGUGGCCCCAGCCCCCUGAGGAGACCAGCCCCGUGGCCCGCCAGAUGCUCACUGUAGCCCUGGCUGGUGAGGACGGGGGGCAGGCUUCUGGCCCCAGCAGACCUCCCUGUGCCCAAGUCCUGGAGGGCAAGAACAAGGCAAACCCACCUUUGGGGUUCACAGGAAAGUCUUGGGGCCACCAGGUACAGGUACCAGGGUAGUCCAGUGCUGGUGGAUGGCUGCAUGGGCACUCUGCCUGGCUGUACUCACUGGCUCUGCUGAUGACUGGCUGUGUGACUUAGAACAAGUCAUGUAGUCUUCCCGUGCCUCAGUUUCCUCAUCUGUUAAAUGAGGUGAUGACAAACCUACCUAGCGUUGCUCUAAGGAUUAAGCGAGUCAAUACAGUGUAAAGCACAUAGCACAGCCCUAACACAGACACACUACGUGUGCGUCCUGGCAGUUGACUGUCACCAUCACUAUGGGAGGGAGCCUGGAGGCUGCGUAGGGCCCAGCAUUCAGGGAGAGUUUCCAGUAGGUGGUGACACAUGAGCACCAACUUGAAAGAUGAGGCUCAGGGGCAGUGAAGGACAUACCCAGACGAGGGAACCACACAGAUGAAGACCCAGAGGCAGUUUGGGGGACAUACGAGGGAUCUGGCUGUGUCUAGACUUAAGGUCGGAAUAGACCAGGAGGCGAUCCCAGCUGGUGGUACACAAAGGCUGUGUCCUGAGGGACCCUGGGUCCACACUGAGGGGUUUAGUCCUACUGCCUGUGAAGGGCCAUGAAAGGGGGUACUUUUUCCCCUUUCUUUCUUUUUUAAUAUUUGCUCAUGCAAAAACAUUGAAACAGUACAGAAGUGUGUCCUGUUAAGUAUGGAAGUUCCCUCUUUGCCCUUAAAUCUUAUUCUGUCAAGGUCUGGUGUACCUCCUUCCAGAACUUUUUCUGUGCCUUACAAAUUUAUUUAUUGUAUAUUACUUUUUUUUUAAAGAUUUUAUUUUUAAGUUAUCCCUGCACCCAAUGUGGGGCUCACACUCAAUGCCAAGAUCAAAAGUUGCACACUCCACCGACUGAGCCAGCCAGGUGCCUCCGUAUAUUACUUUUAAAAAAAUGGAAUAGUAUUAUGCACAUUAUUCCAUAACUUCCAUUUUUCACUUCCCAGUGUGUUGUGGGCAUCUGUCAGUGUCCCAGCAUACGGGUGUGUGGUAUUUUUAAUGGUUGCCUAAUAUUCCCUUGUUUGGACAUAGUGUAAUUUAUGUAACUAUUCCUGGGUUGAUGGAUCUUUAGGUUGUCUUCAGUUUUUCACUCUUGCAAAUAAUGCUUCAGUGACCAUCCUUGCGUAUCUGUCUUGCUGACAUGUGUAAGCAUUUGUGUGGGAUUGAUUUCUAGGCAUGGAAUUGCCCGGGUGAAGGGUAUGUUUAUUAAAUUUUGCUGGGUAGUGCCACAGUGCUCUUCCAAAGGGCCAGGCCAGGUUAUGCUCCCGCUCUCAGUAUCUGUGGGUGGCCAUUUCCCCAUGCCGUCCUCUGCACUGAACAUUAUCAAGCUUUUUAAUUUUUGCUAAUCCAGGAAAUCGUCUUGCUGUGGUUUCAGCACUCACUUGCCUUCUCCCCAGCGAGGCUGAGCAUCUUUUCAUGCAGUUAUGGACCAUUGUGUUUCCUCCUCUGUGAAUUGACUGUUCAUAUCCUUUGCUCAUUUUUCUUUCUUUUUUUCCUUUUCCUUUUUCUUAUUGAUAUAAAGGAGCUUUUAGAUUAUUAGGAAUUUUAAAACUUCUUGUCUGUUGUGCGUGUUGAAAAUAUUUUCCCUAGUCUGCUGUUUGUCUUUUUAACUUUGUUUAUGGUCUCUUUGGCCAUAUAGAAGCUUUAGAUCUUUAUUUAGUCAGAUCUGUCAGACUUUUCCUCAGGGCUUGUGAGUUUCACAUCCUGCUUGGCCAGCCUUCCUGGAAGGGUUUUAAGUGGAGGUCAGAUGGGUGACUGGGUAAGGUCACUCGGAUUGCCACUGUGAGGAGCACGGGUGGAGGGGGGACAGCAAGAGGAUAGGAAGCAGCUGAGACCUUUGUGCUGGGGUGGGGGUAGGGGAAAACGGGAAGAAGGUGAGUUUGGGAAAUAUUCUGGGAUCGACUGCCCAUGAUGAUAGGAUGCGAGGAUGAGAGAGGGAGAGAAAAAGGACUUUGGGGUGAUGCCCGGGUGUAUGGCUAAAUCGGGGACAGGAUUAGGGAGGGAAAUGCCUGCAGGUGCACACGAGUACUCACCUUGGCAGGAGCACGGCACAUAUGAAUACACAUACGCACACGCAUGUACGUGCUUCAAGUUCUGGAGAUUGGUGUCUAGACUGUGGCUCCAUGGAGGGGGUAUAGUGUGGGCUCUACUCUGUGGAUUAUCUGUUCUCUGCCAGGUACUGUAGGCAGCAUCACACACGCGCACUCUAAUCUGAACUACCAUAUGAAGUAUAUUUUACAGAUGAAGAACCAGACCCAGAGAGGUUAAGUAACUUGCUCAAGGCCACAGAGCUAGUAAGUAACAGAAAGGGGAUUUUUCUCAACAACUUAGAUCUGACCACCCACGCAGAAUACCCACCAACAUCAUUGAGGAGCCUUUCAUUCAUUUCUAACCUGACCAACCUAGUUUUAUCGGGACUCUUAGGAUGAGUGCUGGAACCAGACCGCAUGGGUGGGAAAUGCAGCCCCAUUCCUUACAAGCCAAGUUACUUUGCCUCUCCGUGCCUCGGCUUCCCCAUUCUGAAAAUGUAGAUGAUCACAGUACUCACCUUGUGGGGUGUUGGUGGAGAUUAAAUGUGUUAGCACCUAUGAAGUGCUGAGCCCCCUCGGGGCUCAUUGGAUGCUCUCCACAAUGACUCCGAUGAUGAUGAUAGCAAGGUGUUCACCUCACCUGCAUCUGUCCCUCUUUUCAAUCUUCUUCCUCCUCCAUUUUCCCUCCACCUGUCACCUCUCUCCUAUGCCAGCUCUUCCCCGUGGGAACUUCUUUCAACAUUUGCCUUUGAACCUCUGUCCUCUGUUUUCAGCCCCCGAGCCCUCCACAGACAGUGAAUUAAAGUCCAGUCAUUCAGCAAAAACCAUUCAGAGGAGAACGAUUCAUUCUGCACUCAGGGAAUCCUCCCCCAAGCAGUUCUAGUCAGGCAUUUUCUGCAAGCCCAUGCAUUCAUCCCAACAUUAUCCGGUCUCUGAGAACCAGACCAUAACAUCCAGAUCUAAAACUCCUUCCUCCCUGAGUAUAGACGCUCAGGUGCACUUUCGAGGUGGGGGGUCUGAGCUGACCCCAGUCCAGCCAACUCUCCACUCUAGCCAUGAGCCAUCACUGGAUCCCUGACCCCAGGAUGAGUCAUUCUCAGAAUCGUUGGCCAGAAAACUUGCCCAUAGGAAACAAAAGCAGAGAGCACAGCAAAUUUUGAGCACAUUUUCUUCCCACGAGCAUAUCUAAGCACAUCCUGUGGCUGUGAGGGGUGGGUGCAAGGUGUUCAAACCAGGGUAAAACCUCAGGUCUGCACCCAAUUAAAAAUUUAUCACUGAAAUCACCAAACUCACCAUUAAGGAUUUCUCAUCAUUGAAAUAAGCUCCCAGGUAAAGAAAUCCUUGUGGUUAAGAAUGGAGCAGUUAUUGCCUGUUUCUUGUAGGAUUUUGUUUUCAUUUGCAUAGUAUCAGUCACAUCUGUUUAUUUUUGACCCAACGGAUGGCAGAACUCACUCCAGUCCUUCCCAGGGGACUGUUACACCUGACUACAGACCCGCCCCCCCACCCCCACCCCAAGGCCCUGGCAGAAGAUUCUUUAUGACUGCUUUGGGGAAGCCUGGUCACCAUGUCCCCAGGGUCCCACCAAGCCUGUCCCCAGGUUCCACCAAGCCUGGCUUUGUCCCAAGGGCUUCUUCAACACCUUCCCCCAUCUCCAACCCAAGCCCCCUUCCCCAGCAUACCAUAGUACCUCUAUAGGGUGCUGUGCCGUGCUGUGAUUUCCAACUAGCCUGGCCAAAGUUCAAAGCCAGAUGAGCCUUUGGAUGCACACUGACACCAGCAUCGGUGCUCACACUUAAGAACCUUCUCAAGUUUGCCCUUAUGAUAGAAGGGUCUUUCUAAUGGCGUCAAGGAAGCCAUGUUGUACCCUUUUUGUUUUUCAGGAGGGGUGGAGGGAAGGGAGUAUAUUCUACUACAGCCAGAUCUUACUUCUUGGAAAAAUUGAGGAAGUUACAGGGGCAUUUGUGGACAUUAGGGGAUUUCCCCUCAGGUCGCUUGACAGAGCCUGUUAUCUUGAGGGACUGUCUCUUCUCCCUAUUCCCUGCAUGGUCCCACAGAAGCACACAACAUUUCAGGUGAUAAUUGCCAAAGUAAAGUGCCGAUAAGUUCAAAAUAUAAGUGUAUAAUUAAGCUUGAAGCUUGCUGUCAUUCGUGGUUCCAGGGCCACGAGUCAGAGUCCCCCACCCCCAGUUGUCAAUCCAGGGCAGACUCAUAGGGGGCCCCAGGGCCUUUCUAGAGCUGAUCCUAGACCAGAGUCAGGGGCAGAGCUCUGAGGAUGCCCCAGCCUUUGUUCUAAAGUGCGUUUCAAGCCCUUGAAUGUAAGCCAAGGCCCCACUGUCAUGGAGAUGCUACCGCUUGCCUCUGCUCACACGUCCCUUCUCCAGAUGGGAAUUGCCCUGAUGGUGGAUCCUGCUAUAGGCCCUGAAACUUCCCCCUUUUCCUUGUGGAUAGAGAACCCUUCAAACUGGGGGUUGACAUAUUUCUGCCCCCCACUGAAAUCCUAGUUAUUUAGGGGCUCCCAAAUGGAGCUUAGUUCUCUCACUCAGAAAGUCAUCAAGCAUCCCCUCAAACCAAAUACAGGUCAUGUGCCCCAAGUGGCCAGGGGUGAUAUGGUAGGAAAGACAAGAUUGUGCUAAACCAACAGGUUUUUUAGGAACUCUUGGUGAUUUAGUGCAACAAAGCCUCCCUUAUUCUUUCUUCCUUUAUUUACAGUAUAUCCUUUGUUUCCAUUAUACAUCCAGUGUGGGAAGUGGGGAGGGUGGCAGACUCUGGUCCAUAGUCAUGUAUGGGCCCAGGCUGAUAGAAGCUCCACCAUCUUGUAGCUGUCCUACCUGGAACACAUGGUCUCUUCUAGUCACUGUGGCAAAGAAGAGAAAGUGGUAGAGUCUUAAAUGCUUUGGCCCAGCAAUGACACACACCACUUUUGUUCCUAGCCCACCGACCAAAACUUCUCAUAUAGCCUCAACUCACUGCAAGGGGGCGCUGAGAAAGUGUAGGGGACACUAUGCUGGGAUGGAGGAAAUGCACCCAGACGUUAGUGAGCAGUAAAAUCCUCUGUACAAGGGAUAUUGUGGGACCACUAAGAGCAAGGGUUUCAGAAGACCCAAGGCCAUGACUUUGGCUCAUUCUUUCCACUUGGGGUGGCCGAGGCCAGGGAAACCCAGAGUGUCUGGCAGGGCCUGAUGAGAAAAGCUUUGGGAUACUGAGCAACCAGAACUCUCAUAUGUUGCUGGUGAGACUGCAAUAUGGGGCACAGCCACUUCAGAAAACAGUUUGGCAAAAAAAAAAAAAAAAAAGAAAGAAAGAGAGAAAGAAAGAGAAAAGAGAAGACAAACCGUUUGGCAGUUUCCUAUAAAGUUAAAAAUAUGUUUAUCAUAUAACCCAGCAAUCCUAAUGCUAGGGAUUUACCCAAGAGAAGUAACAACUUAUGUUCACAUAAAAACCUGUAUGUGAAUAUUUAUAGUGGCUUUAUUCAUAGUCACCAAAAGCUGGAAACAGCCCAAAUGUCCUUCAGCUAGUGAAUGGGUAAACAAUUGAAUACUAUUCAGCAAUAAAAAAGAAUGAAAUUUGGAACAACAGAGAAACAACAAAGGUAAAUCUCCAAUGCAUUAUAUGCUAAAUGAAUAAAGCCAGGCUCCAAAGGAUACAUACAGAUAAAGCCAUUUGUAUGCCAUUCUGGAAAAGGCAAAACUAUAAAGACAGAAAAUAGAUCAGUGGUUGUUAGGGGCUGGGGUUGGGGAGGAGUUGGCUACAAAAGGACAGCACGUGGAGACUUUUCGGGUGGUAGAAUUGUUCUAGACCUUGAAUGUGGUAGUGGUAACAUGGCUGCAUGCAGCUGUCAGAACUCACAGAACUGCACUGGAAAGUGUAGAUUUUACUCUAGGUAAAUUGUAGCUCAAUUAACCUGCCUGGAAAAAAAAUGCUCGCUGUGAGGUUGUUGAGACAGGGAAACUGGAGUGACAUCAGUCAGAGUAGUGUGACUCGGGUUAGGAGGGCCGCCCUCAUACAGAGGUCAGGGAGGGCUUUCUGAGGAGGUGUCUGGAACUGAACCUGGACACUUGGAUGAGGAGAAGGAGCCAGGCCUGCGAGGAUCAGGAGGAGGUGGGGGCCAGGCAGAGAGAGGCUGGUGCUGUGCCAGGGAGGAGGCGAGGGCAGGAGCUUCCAUUCUCUCUGGGCAUGAUGGCACCACUGGGGGGCAUAUAUAGAGGGUGACCGAAACUCUGAUGUGGGUCAGGCAGCCCAGGGAGCAGGGCAGGGUGAGGGGGGCAGGCAGGAAACAGCAGCUUGUGACCACGUGCAGGAGGAGGGCCAUGUGAUGGAGGGGUGCCCUGACAAGGAGGAGAGGGGUCAGGGAGCCUCCUGCGGGGAGGAGUGGUCAGCCAGCCAGAGACUUGCAGGCUGGGACAGGGGACUGGCACGGAGGGCCCGGGGGUAGGGGGCCUUUGGGACCUUGCUAAGGGUGCUGUGGGUGCUGGUGAGGCAGAGGCCAGACAUCCUGGGUUGACUAGCAGAAGCCCAUCAUAGUUGCACUAACCUUCCUGCUCUCCCAUUGCAGUGCAUGCUGGGACCGCGACCAAUAGGCUGCUGCUCCCCGGGCCCCCAGAGGCUGAUCUGUUUGCCUCCCG
This 19737-nucleotide long non-coding RNA is filed under the name Lynx pardinus (Iberian lynx). The record is from RNAcentral. Lineage: Eukaryota; Metazoa; Chordata; Mammalia; Carnivora; Felidae.